UAUGGUCAUAUCACGUUGAAACAUCGAUUCCCGUACGAUUACCGAAUUUAAUCAAAUUCGAACCUGGUCAGUACAUUGAUGGGUGACCGCUUGGGAAUACCAGGUACUGUAAG
This is a non-coding RNA of Acanthosepion pharaonis, 113 nucleotides long. The record is from the annotation of a GenBank genome assembly. NCBI's taxonomy places the organism in Eukaryota, Metazoa, Mollusca, Cephalopoda, Sepiida, Sepiidae.